Molecule: long non-coding RNA, 769 nt
Organism: Ipomoea nil (Japanese morning glory)
Lineage: Eukaryota; Viridiplantae; Streptophyta; Magnoliopsida; Solanales; Convolvulaceae
Exons: 5
Source: RefSeq, a predicted model, not a curated record
CUGAAACUUUUUAUUAGCAAACAUUGUGAAGGGGAUAAAGAUGUAUGUUGGUGAUUAAAGAUCUACUACUACUUCAUGAGUAUAUGUGAGUGGGGCAAGCUAGGAAGAUUGAAUUCCUUUUUGAAAAAAAUUUCAAGCUGGGAAGCUGCUAGUAGUCAAGUAUUGAAGAUGUAGAGGCCAUUAAAGAUGACUUAGAGCCCAAUUCCACCUGUGAGUUGUGCAGCAAUCCAUCAAUUUGGAUAAUCUUGAUGGGCUUAAUUAUCUCUCCUAGAGGCAUUUAACGGUGGUAAUUGGCAUGUUGCAUCUGCUUAAGAAGGGAGCUUAAUUAAUCUCUCUGAUUUUAGUUUCAAUUGUCUCUCAUUCAAUAAGGGCUGCAUCAAUUACGAAGAAGAAUGUUUGAGAUCAAAAUCGAUGAGCUUGAAUAUGAACAAUCACCAUAUCCACAUGUACAAGAGGACUUAGCGGAGAUCACAAUGAAUAACCUUACCAUUUGAAAAUGGGCAUUAAGGAUAAUUGAGAGCUGUGGAUUCCUUGUGGAUGUAAGAUGCUAUUGCAGAGUAAGCAAAAUAUGCAAAUAGAGUGGUGAGGAGUAGAGGAAGAGAUUGGCACAACUUUUUUAUGAAAUUAAAUAGAAAAAGGUUUUGAAGCAACUUGGAGGGAAAAUGUAUUGAAAUUUCCUUGUUUUGUUGAGAUGAAUAUGUAUCUGUUACAUACAACAAGUUUCAUGUGAUACUUGAAUGUCAUAUCUGCAAAUUUAUAGGUAUUGACU